GCGUACCUUCGGGUACGAGUGGCAGACGGCUGAGUAACGCGUGGGUGACAUACCCGUUGGUGGGGAAUAACUGCCCGAAAGGGUGGCUAAUUCCGCAUACGCCUGUCUUUUCGUUUGAGAUAGGGAAAGUCUCGCAAGAGACGCCGAUGGAGUGGCCCGCGUUCGAUUAGCUGGUUGGUGGGGUAACGGCCUACCAAGGCGACGAUCGAUAGCUGGUCUCAGAGGAUGAUCAGCCAGACUGGGACUGAGACACGGCCCAGACUCCUACGGGAGGCAGCAGUUAGGAAUUUUGGGCAAUGGGCGCAAGCCUGACCCAGCAACGCCGCGUGGGUGACGAAGGCCUUCGGGUUGUAAAGCCCUUUUCUGAGGGAAGAUGAUGACGGUACCUCAGGAAGAAGCACCGGCUAACUACGUGCCAGCAGCCGCGGUAAUACGUAGGGUGCGAGCGUUGCCCGGAUUUAUUGGGCGUAAAGGGCGCGUAGGCGGUUCGGCACGUCCGUUGUGAAAUCGCCCGGCUCAACUGGGCGGGGUCAGCGGAUACGGCCGAGCUGGAGCAAGCUAGGGGGCAAUGGAAUUCCCGGUGUAGUGGUGGAAUGCGUAGAUAUCGGGAGGAACACCAGUGGCGAAGGCGGUUGCCUGGAGCUUUGCUGACGCUG
RNAcentral lists this ribosomal RNA (656 nucleotides) under uncultured Planctomycetota bacterium. RNAcentral describes it as "bacterial SSU rRNA". It matches the Rfam family "Bacterial small subunit ribosomal RNA", at positions 68 to 748 of the family's 1533-position model. Lineage: Bacteria; Pseudomonadati; Planctomycetota. The record is from RNAcentral.